GGGACAAUAAUCAAGCUCAAGAUAAUUUGUAAUGACACUCGGAGAGGCUCGACUAGAAGCGGAGUGUUGUUGUUCAAAUUUAAAGGAUCCUUUAAUUGUACCAUACCAACCCCAACAUCACUGCCGACAAUUUCCGAGGUGACAAAAGUGUCCAAGGCCCGGCCGAAGGUUUCCACUACCUCAGAAAAGCAAUCGACGACAACAAUCUCACCGUCUAAAAGUGCUGUAGUGGCCAGUCCUGAUCCUAACCAAGAGCGAAGAUCGGGUGGAAAAUCAUCCCCCUUGGCCCUCAUCGCAGGUGUUACCGUCGCCAUUCUGGU
Molecule: long non-coding RNA, 320 nt
Organism: Stylophora pistillata
Lineage: Eukaryota; Metazoa; Cnidaria; Anthozoa; Scleractinia; Pocilloporidae
Source: RefSeq, a predicted model, not a curated record